AGAUGAAACCAUCGAGUCAAUUCUUGACAAGGUAUGUACAUUUGAGCCCAAAACCCAAGUUGUUACUCAAGUUUUGAUUAACUUACAUACGAAGCCUUCAUAAAAAUUCAGAAGAUGCAGGUACAAUAAGAGUUCAGAAGAUAAGGAAUCUAUGCGAGAAAAAACGAGAACUCCAGCAGCGGCGAAUACUUCAGCGGCAUCAGCGUUGUAACUUCAGCGGCAGCAACAAAUUGAGAACUCCAGCAAAACCCUUGGGCGCGUGGGGGCGGUAGCUCGCCUCCACCAGCAGGCAGCAACAGAUCACCACCAGCAAGCUCGCCUCCACCAGACACUAGCAGCAGAGCGCCAAGGUCAAGGCUUAGACAAUCUGUCAAGGCUUAUUCUGACACUAGCAGCAGAAUCCAAAUCAUUCAAAUCCAAGGUCAAGGCUCGCCUCCACCAGACACCAGCAACAGAAUCCAAGGUCAAGGCUUAGACAAUCUGCAAGCAGGCGGCAGCAGAUCACCACUAGCAGCUGGCCUCCACCAGCGUCUGGCAGCAGAGCACCGGCUCAGCUCCACCAUCGGGCACGCACGGGUCAGGAGGAGGAGCGCAUGGGCGAGGGUGAAGGGCGGAGGUGGAGGACGGGGGUGGAGGCGAAAGUGGAGGACGGGGAUGGAGGUACAGGUGAAGGC
This 674-nucleotide long non-coding RNA is filed under the name Hordeum vulgare. RNAcentral's name for it is "long non-coding RNA (HVUL_LNC002116)". Lineage: Eukaryota; Viridiplantae; Streptophyta; Magnoliopsida; Poales; Poaceae. The record is from RNAcentral.